AAAGAAUUUGGUUCUAGUUUUUAUUGUUGAGAGGUUAGAAACUUAUACAUGUUAGCUAUUAAGUGUUCCGGUGAGGACCCGAGAGAAUUUAAAAAAUAAUUAAAUAUAUUUUUGUUUUGAGUCGGAUGUAUUACUAUUAUUAAUAAAGUAAAAUUACUAUUAAGUAUCGUCACAUCUGCAGUAAUAAAUAUUUAACCCUGCCUGUAAGGGUGAUUAAAUUAAAUAAUUUGGGGACUGGCGAAGAUACCGUGCCAGCAGCCGCGGUUAAACGGACAGUUUUCUCAAUAUAAUAGGUAGCUUAAUACAGAUAUUCUUUAUAAAAAGAUGAUAAGAUAAGAUUUUAAUGUGAAAUUUAGAUUUUUUUGAGUAUAUUAUAUUAAUGAAGAAACUGUUAAGAUAAGGGUAGAAACCUGGUUUUGAUAUCCAGUUAUUCCUUAGAGGGAAAGUUAAUGCUGGUAGAGUAUUAAGGAAAUCUUUGAGAAACAAAGAACUUGGCGGUGAUUUAAUUCUAAUCAGGGGAGUUUGUCCAAAUAAAAUGAUGAUCCACAUUACACCUGACCCCUUUUGUUUGUUCAGCCUCUAUAUCAUCGUCAUUAAGUCUUCAUUGUAAAUUAGAAGACUAAAGUUCUUAAAAAGGAGAGAUGUCAGAUCGAGAUGGAGCCUAUAAAGGGGGGCGGAUGAACUACAAUAAAAUUUAUUUAUUACGUGUAGUUAUGAAUUCUUUUUUGAAACAAAUUGUUGAAAUAGGACUUGAUAGUAAUAGGCUAUAAGAAAGGGGCUAUGAAUUGAGCUCUAAAUUGCGUACACAUCGCCCGUCACCUGCGGGGAUAAACCUGGAGUAAGUCGUAACAUAGUAGGCGUACCGGAAGGUGCGGCCUGGUCAAUU
RNAcentral lists this non-coding RNA (886 nucleotides) under Ophiosteira sp. Op725.7. RNAcentral describes it as "12S ribosomal RNA". The stretch from base 455 to 879 matches the Rfam family "Microsporidia small subunit ribosomal RNA", at positions 751 to 1303 of the family's 1311-position model. Lineage: Eukaryota; Metazoa; Echinodermata; Ophiuroidea; Amphilepidida; Ophiuridae. The record is from RNAcentral.